CCUACGGGUGGCAGCAGUGAGGAAUAUUGGUCAAUGGGCGGAAGCCUGAACCAGCCAAGUAGCGUGCAGGAUGACGGCCCUACGGGUGGUAAACUUCUUUUGUCGGGGAAUAAAAUGUUCCACGUGUGGGGUUUUGUAUGUACCAUAUGAAUAAGGAUCGGCUAACUCCGUUCCAGCAGCCGCGGUAAUACGGAGGAUCCGAGCGUUAUCCGGAUUUAUUGGGUUUAAAGGGAGAGUCGGUGGGUUGUUAAGUCAGUUGGGAAAGUUGGGGGGUCAACCGUCAGAUUGCAGUUGAAACUGGAAGUCUUGAGUACAGUAGAGGUAGGCGGAAUGCGUGGUGUAGCGGUGAAAUGCAUAGAUAUCACGAAGAACUCCGAUUGCGAAGGCAGCUUACUGGAGUGCAACUGACGCUGAGGCUCGAAAGUGUGGGUAUCAAACAGGAUUAGAUACCCUGGUAGUC
Molecule: ribosomal RNA, 460 nt
Filed under: uncultured bacterium
Lineage: Bacteria
Description: partial 16S ribosomal RNA
Rfam family: Bacterial small subunit ribosomal RNA
Source: RNAcentral